Molecule: long non-coding RNA, 224 nt
Organism: Gordionus sp. m RMFG-2023
Lineage: Eukaryota; Metazoa; Nematomorpha; Gordioida; Chordodea; Parachordodidae
Exons: 3
Source: RefSeq, a predicted model, not a curated record
CUAAAUUGAAAAAUGGUUUUAUGUAUUGAGUGUGGUAGCUCAGCAAAUGAAGAUAUUUAUAAAGAAUUCUCACCACAAAUCAUCAAAUACACUGUGAUCAAUAUGUAGAUAAAUAUAUUGAAUAUGAUACUACCAUAAUAUUUUUAGAUGUUGUAUUGUUUAAGAUACAAGCUUAUCGUCACAUCUUAUUUAAUUCAACAUUUAUUAAUUAUUGGAAACUUUCA